AAUAGAUACCCGGGUAGUCCAUGCCGUAAACGUUGGGAACUAGAUGUGGGGACCAUUCCACGGUCUCCGUGUCGCAGCUAACGCAUUAAGUUCCCCGCCUGGGGAGUACGGCCGCAAGGCUAAAACUCAAAGGAAUUGACGGGGGCCCGCACAAGCGGCGGAGCAUGCGGAUUAAUUCGAUGCAACGCGAAGAACCUUACCAAGGCUUGACAUAUACGAGAACGCCGUAGAAAUACGGAACUCUUUGGACACUCGUAUACAGGUGGUGCAUGGUUGUCGUCAGCUCGUGUCGUGAGAUGUUGGGUUAAGUCCCGCAACGAGCGCAACCCUCGUCGUAUGUUGCCAGCACGUAAUGGUGGGAACUCAUAUGAGACUGCCGGGGUCAACUCGGAGGAAGGUGGGGAUGAGGUCAAAUCAUCAUGCCCCUUAUGUCUUGGGCUUCACGCAUGCUACAAUGGCCGGUACAAAGGGCUGCAAUACCGCGAGGUGGAGCGAAUCCCAAAAAGCCGGUCUCAGUUCGGAUUGAGGU
Molecule: ribosomal RNA, 529 nt
Filed under: uncultured bacterium
Lineage: Bacteria
Description: bacterial SSU rRNA
Rfam family: Bacterial small subunit ribosomal RNA
Source: RNAcentral